AUUGAACGCUGGCGGCAGGCUUAACACAUGCAAGUCGAGCGGGGUGAUGGUGCUUGCACUAUCACUUAGCGGCGGACGGGUGAGUAAUGCUUAGGAAUCUGCCUAUUAGUGGGGGACAACAUCUCGAAAGGGAUGCUAAUACCGCAUACGUCCUACGGGAGAAAGCAGGGGAUCACUUGUGACCUUGCGCUAAUAGAUGAGCCUAAGUCGGAUUAGCUAGUUGGUGGGGUAAAGGCCUACCAAGGCGACGAUCUGUAGCGGGUCUGAGAGGAUGAACCGCCACACUGGGAAUGAGACACAGCCCAGACUCCUACGGGAGGCAGCAGUGGGGAAUAUUGGACAAUGGGGGGAACCCUGAUCCAGCCAUGCCGCGUGUGUGAAGAAGGCCUUAUGGUUGUAAAGCACUUUAAGCGAGGAGGAGGCUCUUUUGGUUAAUACCCAAGAUGAGUGGACGUUACUCGCAGAAUAAGCACCGGCUAACUCUGUGCCAGCCGCCGCGGUAA
RNAcentral lists this ribosomal RNA (503 nucleotides) under uncultured bacterium. Its description in RNAcentral is "partial 16S ribosomal RNA". It matches the Rfam family "Bacterial small subunit ribosomal RNA", at positions 30 to 523 of the family's 1533-position model. The record is from RNAcentral.